RNAcentral lists this non-coding RNA (31 nucleotides) under Rattus norvegicus (Norway rat). The record is from RNAcentral. Lineage: Eukaryota; Metazoa; Chordata; Mammalia; Rodentia; Muridae.
UGCCCUGUUGUAGUCUUGUAACAUAUUCAGC